CCGGCACGGGUGAGUAACGCGUAUGCAACCUACCUAUCAGAGGGGAAUAACCGGCGAAAGUCGGACUAAUACCGCAUAAAACAGGGGUUCCACAUGGAAAUAUUUGUUAAAGAAUUAUCGCUGAUAGAUGGGCAUGCGUUCCAUUAGAUAGUUGGUGAGGUAACGGCUCACCAAGUCCACGAUGGAUAGGGGUUCUGAGAGGAAGGUCCCCCACACUGGUACUGAGACACGGACCAG
RNAcentral lists this ribosomal RNA (237 nucleotides) under uncultured bacterium. RNAcentral's name for it is "partial 16S ribosomal RNA". It matches the Rfam family "Bacterial small subunit ribosomal RNA", at positions 100 to 334 of the family's 1533-position model. The record is from RNAcentral.